GCUCCUUAAAUUCCAAACUGGAGAGCUGCUGAAUAAAAAGCAAAAUUAUUAAUUAUUAAUUAAGACCAAUUGCUAACUCUCUGAGCUCUUUUAGCAAAUCAAAAUAAGAUGCCUAAAUGCAAUAGGUCCUGCUAUGACAUCCCAGCUACCCUGUUCCACUGCUGCUGGUGGAGAGAGUUCUGGACAGUAAUAUUUUAAUCUAUGGGUGACCUUUCUUUACAAUCAUUUAAACCAUAGGACUGCAGUUGUAGCUCUGUAUAGCAUGUAGCAAGUCAUUAUUUGGUAUAAACAAUGAAGGUCUUUUAAAAAAAUAAAUCACCCCAGCAUCCCUGCUGGAAGGGAACACGAAACCGGUGAUCAUUGCAUCCUUCCAUGCAUUAGUAUUCACUAAAUUUAAUGCAGAUUGUAUAUGACCCAAAACACAUAUGGUUUAUAGGUAAUCUGUGAUUCAGCAUCUCAGCAUUUAUUUACACACUAGAUGCUGCAACAUUAUUAAUUUCUGGCCAUAGGGCAGCAUUGGCAGGACAAACUAGUUAAGCUGUGCUAUGAGAGUAUGCUUUAGCAUAUCCAUUAGCGUCUGUAGAGAUGUCGAUUGUGAAAUCCCAGUGGCCCUCCUCCCAUUAUGACAGCCCCAGCCACCUGAACACUGUACUCACUCUGCCUGUAUAGCCUGCUCUUCAACAAAGCAGGCUACGUCAGAUAAUUCCAUGCUUGCUGGAGACUCCCUGUCAGUUUCUUCCAUCAAUCUGAAUCUGAUUUAUAGACAAAAACAUCAGUAACACAAAGUUUCUUGCCUGGCCCCAACCCAACUCAUACAACGUUCCUAAGCUCUAAGAUCAAUAGCACUUUUUAGAUAAGAACAAAUUUUGCAUGAAGUAACUAAAAUUCUAUAUUAGCUCAAAAUGUUUUGUACAAAAAGAAAAAAAAAAUAACACUCCAUUAAAACAUUAGCAGGGUAGAUAUCUGAAGCUGCUAAUUUAUUUUAUGAGUAAUCCAACACCACUGGUACAUGAAGAAAAAAUCUCAUGUAUUAUAUAAGAGGAGACAACUAGGAUAUAUUAAAGGACCAGUUAAGCCAAACAUGUUAAUUAUCUGACAGGAAAUAAUAUUUUUGUUUAUAGAAUGUACAGCAAUCAGCACCCAAAAAGCUAAAGUACAGUUUCCAAAUUACAAGUUCCUCAGCAGCAACUCACUGCUAGACAACAAAAUAAUCCUUAAGACACUUGACAGAACUUGUUUUUUGUCUGUGUUGGUGGCUUACAUAAAGAUGUUUAAAACUUGGAAGUAAUAAAGAAAUGCUGUCCACUU
This is a long non-coding RNA of Xenopus tropicalis (tropical clawed frog), 1308 nucleotides long. RefSeq lists it as uncharacterized. The transcript has 2 exons. The record is from RefSeq and is a predicted model, not a curated record. NCBI's taxonomy places the organism in Eukaryota, Metazoa, Chordata, Amphibia, Anura, Pipidae.